UUGUUGGGGCAUGCAUGGCGGGCCGAGUACGGACAGCCGUGCAACUCUAACCCUAACUAUUCUUGUGCCUCGUCUCGCGGCAAACCGUGCUGUUUUCCGAGACAAGCUUUCAUCACGGGGACUUGGCAUUCAUUUAAACUCAAAAAAGCUUGUUUUUGCUCCGGCAACUUUGCUAAACGGUACCGACGGCACUGUCGCUCUUGGCACGGAGGCCCUUGUUGACCGCGAUGGGCGACCGGUGCUAGGGUUCGUCCCUACCCGACGCUCUUCGUUUGGUUAAUAUUGGGCCUGGGAUGUCUCCCAAGUUUGACUGCCAAUUCAUUAAACACCAGUGCUUUUAGAAAAUGCUGCUUGGCACGAGUUUGGCCUUGUGGCGUUUUCUUACAUGCGCACAUAU
Molecule: non-coding RNA, 397 nt
Filed under: Lingula anatina
Lineage: Eukaryota; Metazoa; Brachiopoda; Lingulata; Lingulida; Lingulidae
Source: RNAcentral